AUUGAACGCUGGCGGAAUGCUUUACACAUGCAAGUCGAGCGGAACUUAGGGGCUUGCUCCUAAGUUUAGUGGCGAACGGGUGAGUAACAUAUCGGAACGUAUCCAUUAAGUGGGGGAUAACUAAUCGAAAGGUUGGCUAAUACCGCAUACGCCCUACGGGGGAAAGCAGGGGAUCUUCGGACCUUGCGUUAAUGGAGCGGCCGAUAUCUGAUUAGCUAGUUGGUGAGGUAAAGGCUCACCAAGGCGACGAUCAGUAGCUGGUCUGAGAGGACGACCAGCCACACUGGAACUGAGACACGGUCCAG
RNAcentral lists this ribosomal RNA (305 nucleotides) under uncultured bacterium. RNAcentral describes it as "bacterial SSU rRNA". It matches the Rfam family "Bacterial small subunit ribosomal RNA", at positions 30 to 334 of the family's 1533-position model. The record is from RNAcentral.